GCCGCUGUAGCUCAGCGGAAAGAGCACGGUUGUGACUCAACCCGGGGUCGCGGGUUCAAAUCCCGCCAGCGGUA
Molecule: transfer RNA, 74 nt
Filed under: uncultured Actinomycetes bacterium
Lineage: Bacteria; Bacillati; Actinomycetota; Actinomycetes
Description: uncultured actinobacterium tRNA-Val
Rfam family: tRNA
About the family: Transfer RNA (tRNA) molecules are approximately 80 nucleotides in length.
Source: RNAcentral